Molecule: unclassified non-coding RNA, 299 nt
Filed under: uncultured fungus
Lineage: Eukaryota; Fungi
Description: sequence contains ITS1
Rfam family: 5.8S ribosomal RNA (bases 1-105)
Source: RNAcentral
GAAAUGCGAUAAGUAAUGUGAAUUGCAGAAUUCAGUGAAUCAUCGAAUCUUUGAACGCACAUUGCGCCCCUCGGUAUUCCGGGGGGCAUGCCUGUUCGAGCGUCAUUGCACCCCUCAAGCGUAGCUUGGUAUUGGGCCCUCGUCCUCGCGGACGUGCCCGAAAAACAGUGGCGGUCCGGUGUGACUUCGAGCGUAGUAAAUAAUCUCCCGCUUUGGAAGCCUUCGCAUCGUGGCCAGCCAGAAUCCCCACACUUUCAAUGAUUGACCUCGGAUCAGGUAGGGAUACCCGCUGAACUUAA